AUUGAACGCUGGCGGCAUGCUUUACACAUGCGAGUCGAACGGCAGCGCGGGCUUCGGCCUGGCGGCGAGUGGCGAACGGGUGAGUAAUACAUCGGAACGUGCCCAGUAGUGGGGGAUAGCUCGGCGAAAGCCGGAUUAAUACCGCAUACGACCUGAGGGUGAAAGCGGGGGAUCUUCGGACCUCGCGCUAUUGGAGCGGCCGAUGGCAGAUUAGCUAGUUGGUGGGGUAAAGGCCUACCAAGGCGACGAUCUGUAGCUGGUCUGAGAGGACGACCAGCCACACUGGGACUGAGACACGGCCCAGACUCCUACGGGAGGCAGCAGUGGGGAAUGUUGGACAAUGGGCGAAAGCCUGAUCCAGCAAUGCCGCGUGUGUGAUGAAGGCCUUCGGGUUGUAAAGCACUUUUGGCGGGAACGAAAAGGACUGUGCCAAUACCACGGUUCGAUGACGGUACCCGCAGAAUAAGCACCGGCUAACUACGUG
This 484-nucleotide ribosomal RNA is filed under the name uncultured bacterium. RNAcentral describes it as "partial 16S ribosomal RNA". It matches the Rfam family "Bacterial small subunit ribosomal RNA", at positions 29 to 507 of the family's 1533-position model. The record is from RNAcentral.